Molecule: long non-coding RNA, 342 nt
Filed under: Homo sapiens (human)
Lineage: Eukaryota; Metazoa; Chordata; Mammalia; Primates; Hominidae
Description: HSALNT0050465
Source: RNAcentral
CACCAAUAUAUAAAUAAAUAAGAAUAACCUGUCAUAUGCUUUGUAAUAUAGGUUCUUAAUUUUUAUUCUCUCUGAUGGUGAAGGUGUGAGCAGAAGAAAUCUGUGCCGAAAGAAUAGCAGAACUUAGAUAAAUCACAAACAUCCAGUAUUUUCCAAUAUUGGUUUCUCCAACUUAAGAUUGGAUGAGAACGUGGCUAUUGACAUUACUAAGCUGAUUCACCUACCCCAGAAAGUGGCAAAUUAAGCAGUCUGUUGACUUUAAGAUUACCUUGGAGAUAGAUCACAGAAUUUAAAAUGCAGUCACUCAGAAAGCAAAAUUGCUUGGGAAUAAAAGGCAAUAAU